RNAcentral lists this ribosomal RNA (484 nucleotides) under uncultured bacterium. Its description in RNAcentral is "partial 16S ribosomal RNA". It matches the Rfam family "Bacterial small subunit ribosomal RNA", at positions 30 to 507 of the family's 1533-position model. The record is from RNAcentral.
AUUGAACGCUGGCGGCAGGCCUAACACAUGCAAGUCGAGCGGAUGAAGGGAGCUUGCUCCUGGAUCUAGCGGCGGACGGGUGAGUAAUGCCUAGGAAUCUGCUUGGUAUUGGGGUGUAACGUCCGGAAACGGGCGCUAAUACUGCAUACGUCGUGAGGGAGCAAGAGGGGGAUCUUCGGACCUCACGCUAUCAGAUGAGUCUAGGUCGGAUUAGCUAGCUUGUGGGUUAAAGGCCUACUAAGGCGACGAUUCGUAACUGGUCUGAGAGAAUGAUCAGCCACCUGAGAGCUGAGACGCGGUCCAGACUCCUACGAGAGGCAGCAGUGGGGAAUGUGGGGCAGUGGGCGAAAGUCUGAUCCAGCCAUGCCGAGUGUGUGGAAGAGGCCUUGCGUGUGUAAAGCACGUCAAGUUGGGAUGAAGGGCAGUAGGUUAAUACCUUGCUGUUUUGACGUUACCAACAAAAUAAGCACCGGCUAACUUCGUG